AAGGGGGAAAAAAAGAACCAAACAUUUAUGUAAGAUGAAGAUGGCGAGUUGGUUGGGUUUUUCUGUUAGCUGGAGUACACACACACACACACACACACACACACACACACACACACACACACACACACACACACACAGACACACACACACACACACACAGACACACAC
Tachysurus fulvidraco (yellow catfish) is the source of this 168-nucleotide long non-coding RNA. RefSeq lists it as uncharacterized. NCBI's taxonomy places the organism in Eukaryota, Metazoa, Chordata, Actinopteri, Siluriformes, Bagridae. The record is from RefSeq and is a predicted model, not a curated record. The transcript is spliced from 3 exons.